AGUAAGGAAUAUUGGACAAUGGAGGGAACUCUGAUCCAGCCAUUCCGCGUGGAGGAAGAAGGCCCUAUGGGUUGUAAACUUCUUUUAGAUGGGAAUAAAAUGACUCUUGCGAGAGUUACUGAAGGUACCAUCAGAAUAAGCACCGGCUAACUCCGUGCCAGCAGCCGCGGUAAUACGGAGGGUGCGAGCGUUAUCCGGAAUUACUGGGUUUAAAGGGUGCGUAGGCGGAUGAUUAAGUCUGGGGUGAAAGAUUGUCGCUUAACGAUAAGAUUGCCUUGGAUACUGGUCAUCUUGAAUAAGGAUGAGGAUGGCGGAAUGUGACAUGUAGCGGUGAAAUGCAUAGAUAUGUCAUAGAACACCAAUUGCGAAGGCAGCUAUCUGGUCUUUUAUUGACGCUGAGGCACGAAAGCGUGGGGAGCGAA
This 422-nucleotide ribosomal RNA is filed under the name uncultured Saprospiraceae bacterium. Its description in RNAcentral is "bacterial SSU rRNA". It matches the Rfam family "Bacterial small subunit ribosomal RNA", at positions 353 to 772 of the family's 1533-position model. The record is from RNAcentral. Lineage: Bacteria; Pseudomonadati; Bacteroidota; Saprospiria; Saprospirales; Saprospiraceae.